RNAcentral lists this transfer RNA (101 nucleotides) under Daldinia caldariorum. RNAcentral's name for it is "tRNA-Arg". It matches the Rfam family "tRNA". From Rfam's summary of the family: Transfer RNA (tRNA) molecules are approximately 80 nucleotides in length. Their secondary structure includes four short double-helical elements and three loops (D, anti-codon, and T loops). Lineage: Eukaryota; Fungi; Ascomycota; Sordariomycetes; Xylariales; Hypoxylaceae. The record is from RNAcentral.
GCCGCACUAGAGAAAUGGUUAACUCGUCGGCCUCCUACUCCCUUCUGGAAAGUAGAGUUUAUAACAGCCGAAGAUUCCCGGUUCGAGUCCGGGGUGUGGUG